AUGGGGUUGGCCAGCGACAGCGCCGGGUUCCCCUUCUCCGCCAAGCUCUCCGCCGCCAACUCGCCGCGCUUCUGCAACCCCAUGAGCAGGAGGAUAUUUUCAGAUGUUGCUGGCGAUAUAACGGUAUUGGUGGAUGGUCAAUCUUUUCUACUGCACAAGUUCCCUUUAGUCUCUCGGUGCGGAAGAAUACGACGAAUGGUGGCCGAUGCCAAGGAUCCAGAUCUCUCAAAGCUUGAGCUUGUAAAUGUACCAGGGGGAGCUACAUCAUUCGAACUCGCAGCCAAGUUCUGUUAUGGGAGUAACUUUGAAAUAACCACAGCGAAUGUAGCUCAUCUCCGGUGCAUUGCAGAAUAUUUGGAAAUGACAGAAGACUAUCAAGAUGAGAACCUCAUUGUUCGGACAGAGAUGUACCUGAAUGACCUUGUGGUCAAGAACCUUGAGAAAUCUCUACAAGUUUUAUGCGCGUGUGAAGGCUUGGAUCCAAUGGUGGAGGAAAUCGGAUUUGUCGAUAGGUGUGUCGAUGCGAUCGCGAUGAACGCAAGCAAGGAGCAGCUGGUUUCAGGUUUGGCUCACUUGGAAUGCGACGCGGGGUCCGGGAAGUUGCGGAUGCAUUGCCAGGACUGGUGGGUUGAGGAUCUUUCUGCUCUAAGAAUUGACUAUUAUCAGCGAGUGAUCGCCGCGAUGAGGAGAAGUGGCGUGAGACCGGAGAGCAUAGGCACUUCAAUCGUGCACUAUGCUCAAACAGCUCUCAAGGGCAUCGAAAGGCGUCACGUGUGGGAUUCCGGCCCACUUGUCGGUGACAACCAAAGGGUGGUUGUGGAAACCCUCAUCAACCUGAUGGCAACCGAGAAGAUCACAGCUGUUACCCUGUCAUUCUUGUUCGGCAUGCUCAGAAUGGCGAUAGAGGUUGAUGCAGGACUAGACUACAGGAUUGAAGUCGAGAAAAGGAUCGGUCUCCAUCUUGAGAUGGCAUCACUUGAUGAUCUUCUCAUCCCGUCCAUGCAAACGAGCGAGUCCAUGUUUGACGUCGACACGGUCCAUCGCAUUUUGGUGAACUUCUUGCAAAGGAUUGAGGAAGAUGACUCGGGAGACUUGUCACCUUGCGGAUACGAGUCCGACGGACUCAAGUCUCCGAGCCACGGCUCGGUGCUCAAGGUCGGAAGGCUAAUGGACGGUUAUCUUGCAGAAAUUGCACCAGAUCCUUAUCUGAAACUGCAGAAGUUCAUGACCCUCAUCGAACUGUUGCCGGAUUACGCUCGCAUUGUUGAUGAUGGACUCUACCGAGCCAUCGACAUAUACCUAAAGGCACACCCAUCUCUGAUGGAAUCCGAGUGCAAGAAGCUGUGCAAGCUGAUCGACUGCCAGAAGCUGUCCCAGGACGCGUCGAGCCACGCGGCGCAGAACGACCGGCUCCCGAUGCAGAUGGUGGUGCGCGUGCUCUACUUCGAGCAGCUCCGCCUCAAGUCGUCCUUCUCGGGCGGCCACUCCGGCGGCGGCGGCGAGUACUGCUCCUUCUCCCAGCGGAUCACCAUGCCGAUCAGCGGGAGCGGCGUGCCGAGCUCGUGCGUGUCGCCCCGGGCCGCCGGCGCGGCCGACAGCUACGCGUCGCUGCGGCGGGAGAACCGGGAGCUGAAGCUGGAGGUGUCGCGGAUGCGGGUGCGGCUGACGGAGCUGGAGCGGGAGCAGGGGAUGAUGAAGCAGGGGAUGCGGGACGGCCGCCCGGGGGAGCACGGCCGCGCCUUCUUCGCGUCGAUAUCGAGGGGGAUCGGGCGGAUGGCCAUGUUCGGCCCGGCCGGGGAGAGGAGGAAGAAGAGCUCCAGGGCGACGGCGAGCUCGCAGUGCUCCGAAGGGAAGAGCCGGAGGAGGAAGAAACCAUCGGUCACGUAUGCGUAG
This 1893-nucleotide ribosomal RNA is filed under the name Triticum aestivum (bread wheat). RNAcentral's name for it is "partial small subunit ribosomal RNA". The record is from RNAcentral. Lineage: Eukaryota; Viridiplantae; Streptophyta; Magnoliopsida; Poales; Poaceae.